RNAcentral lists this ribosomal RNA (497 nucleotides) under uncultured bacterium. RNAcentral's name for it is "partial 16S ribosomal RNA". It matches the Rfam family "Bacterial small subunit ribosomal RNA", at positions 28 to 507 of the family's 1533-position model. The record is from RNAcentral.
GAUGAACGCUGGCGGCGUGCCUAAUACAUGCCAGUCGAGCGAACAGAUGAGGAGCUUGCUCCUCUGACGUUAGCGGCGGACGGGUGAGUAACACGUGGAUAACCUACCUAUAAGACUGGGAUAACUUCGGGAAACCGGAGCUAAUACCGGAUAAUAUAUUGAACCGCAUGGUUCAAUAGUGAAAGACGGUUUUGCUGUCACUUAUAGAUGGAUCCGCGCCGCAUUAGCUAGUUGGUAAGGUAACGGCUUACCAAGGCAACGAUGCGUAGCCGACCUGAGAGGGUGAUCGGCCACACUGGAACUGAGACACAGUCCAGACUCCUACGGGAGGCAGCAGUAGGGAAUCUUCCGCAAUGGGCGAAAGCUUGACGGAGCAACGCCGCGUGAGUGAUGAAGGUCUUCGGAUCGUAAAACUCUGUUAUUAGGGAAGAACAAAUGUGUAAGUAACUAUGCACGUCUUGACGGUACCUAAUCAGAAAGCCACGGCUAACUACGUG